RNAcentral lists this ribosomal RNA (1608 nucleotides) under human gut metagenome. RNAcentral's name for it is "bacterial LSU rRNA". It matches the Rfam family "Bacterial large subunit ribosomal RNA", at positions 934 to 2569 of the family's 2925-position model. The record is from RNAcentral.
GCCUACCAAAUCCUGACAAACUCCGAAUGCCAGUAGUAUGAUUUACAGCAGUGAGCGACCGGGUGCUAAUGUCCGGUUACGAGAGUGGAACAACACAGACCAGCAACUAAGGUCCCCAAGAGUAUACUAAGUUGAUCUAACGAUGUUUUGCUGCAGAGACAGCUAGGAUGUUAGCUUGGAAGCAGCUAUUCAUUCAAAGAGUGCGUAACAGCUCACUAGUCGAGCGGCAAAGCGUGGAUAAUAAACGGGCAUCAAGUAUACCACCGAAGUUCUGGGCACGAAAGUGCGGUAGGGGAGCAUUCCAUUCCGCGUUGAAGCCGAACCGUGAGGUUUGGUGGAGUGUAUGGAAAAGCAAAUGUAGGCAUGAGUAACGAUAAUGCGGGAGAGUAACCCGCACACCGCAAGACCAAGGUUUCCUGAUCAACGCUAAUCGGAUCAGGGUUAGUCGGGUCCUAAGGGUAAGCCGAACGGUGAUCUCGAUGGAUAAUCGGUUAAUAUUCCGAUACUGACAUAUACCUCGAUGGAGAGACGAAGGAACGUAAGUGCCGCCACCUGACGGAAUAGGUGGUUAAAGGGCGUAGGUAUAGGGGCAGAUUAAGAGUUAGUCCUUGCUGAAACCUGACAGUACAGAGAGCCUACGGGCAAUUUGAUAGAGCACCCAAGUCGACUUCCGAGAAAAUCUUCUAAGUUAUAGUAUAUGUUACCCGUACCGUAAACCGACACAGGUGGUCGAGGAGAGUAUCCUAAGGUGCUCGAGUGAAUCACGGUUAAGGAACUAGGCAAAUUAACCCCGUAACUUCGGGAAAAGGGGUCCCUAUGAAAGUAGGGCGCAGCGAAGAGGUCCAGGCGACUGUUUAUCAAAAACACAGGGCUCUGCAAAUUCGAAAGAAGACGUAUAGGGCCUGACACCUGCCCGGUGCUGGAAGGUUAAGAGGGGAUGUCAUCGCAAGAGAAGCAUUGAAUCGAAGCCCCAGUAAACGGCGGCCGUAACUAUAACGGUCCUAAGGUAGCGAAAUUCCUUGUCGGGUAAGUUCCGACCUGCACGAAUGGUGUAACGAUCUGGACACUGUCUCAACCGUGAGCUCGGUGAAAUUGUAGUCCCGGUGAUGAUGCCGGGUACCCGCAACGGGACGAAAAGACCCCGUGAACCUUUACUAUAGCUUAACGCUGAAUUUGGGUACACAAUGUGUAGGAUAGGCCGGAGGCUUUGAAGCGGGCACGCCAGUGUUCGUGGAGCCGACGUUGAAAUACGGCCCUUUGUGUAUUUGAGUUCUAACCCUGCGAAGGGGACACCGUUUGGUGGGUAGUUUGACUGGGGUGGUCGCCUCCAAAAGCGUAACGGAGGCUUCCCAAGGUACCCUCAGCACGAAUGGUAACCGUGCGUAGAGUGCAAUAGCAUAAGGGUGCUUGACUGUGAGACAUACAAGUCGACCAGGUACGAAAGUAGGGUAUAGUGAUCCGGUGGUUCUGCGUGGACUGGCCAUCGCUCAAAGGAUAAAAGGUACUCCGGGGAUAACAGGCUGAUCGCCGCCAAGAGCUCAUAUCGACGCGGCGGUUUGGCACCUCGAUGUCGGCUCGUCACAUCCUGGGGCUGGAGAAGGUCCCAAG